UGGGGAAUAUUGGAAAAUGGGCGAAAGCCUGAUCCAGCCAUGCCGCGUGUGUGAAGAAGGUCUUCGGAUUGUAAAGCACUUUAAGUUGGGAGGAAGGGCAUUAACCUAAUACGUUAGUGUUUUGACGUUACCGACAGAAUAAGCACCGGCUAACUCUGUGCCAGCAGCCGCGGUAAUACAGAGGGUGCAAGCGUUAAUCGGAAUUACUGGGCGUAAAGCGCGCGUAGGUGGUUUGUUAAGUUGGAUGUGAAAUCCCCGGGCUCAACCUGGGAACUGCAUUCAAAACUGACUGACUAGAGUAUGGUAGAGGGUGGUGGAAUUUCCUGUGUAGCGGUGAAAUGCGUAGAUAUAGGAAGGAACACCAGUGGCGAAGGCGACCGCCUGGACUAAUACUGACACUGAGGUGCGAAAGCGUGGGGAGCAAACA
RNAcentral lists this ribosomal RNA (427 nucleotides) under uncultured bacterium. Its description in RNAcentral is "partial 16S ribosomal RNA". It matches the Rfam family "Bacterial small subunit ribosomal RNA", at positions 355 to 774 of the family's 1533-position model. The record is from RNAcentral.